UUUUAAAUGCAUUAGCUGGCUUUGCGAGCCUGUUUUUCAGUGUUGUAAUUUCUAAUACGCGCUGUGAUGAACUGGUUCGACUUGCUGCUGAUAGACAACAUUUUUCUAUGUCUCUGACCUCAAAUCAGGUAGGAUUACCCGCUGAACUUAAGCAUAUCAAUAAGCGGAGGAAAAGAAACUAACAAGGAUUCCCCUAGUAACGGCGAGUGAAGCGGGAAAAGCUCAAAUUUGAAAUCUGACGGUCUUUGGUCGUCCGAGUUGUAGUCUGGAGAAGUGCUUUCUGUGCUGGACCGUGUACAAGUCUCUUGGAACAGAGCGUCAUAGAGGGUGAGAAUCCCGUCUUUGACACGGACUACCAGUGCUAUAUGAUGCGCUCUCAAAGAGUCGAGUUGUUUGGGAAUGCAGCUCAAAAUGGGUGGUAAAUUCCAUCUAAAGCUAAAUACAGGCGAGAGACCGAUAGCGAACAAGUACCGUGAGGGAAAGAUGAAAAGCACUUUGGAAAGAGAGUAAAACAGUACGCGAAAUUGUUGAAAGGGAAACGCUUGAAGUCAGUCGUGUCUACUGGGACUCAGCCUGGCUUUUGCCUGGUGCACUUCCCUGUUGACAGGCCAACAUCAAUUUUGAUCGGCAGACAAAGGCUGAGGAAAUGUGGCAGCUCCGGCUGUGUUUAUAGUCCUUGGUUGUACAUGUCGAUUGGGAUUGAGGAAUCCGGACACGCAAGUGUUGUGGGAUGUUGGCGUAAUGGCUUUAAACGACCCGUCUUGAAACACGGACC
RNAcentral lists this ribosomal RNA (775 nucleotides) under uncultured fungus. RNAcentral describes it as "eukaryotic LSU rRNA". The stretch from base 115 to 775 matches the Rfam family "Eukaryotic large subunit ribosomal RNA", at positions 1 to 667 of the family's 3401-position model. Lineage: Eukaryota; Fungi. The record is from RNAcentral.